RNA transcript from Hevea brasiliensis (rubber tree), 1429 nucleotides. It is a transcript of the gene named nuclear transcription factor Y subunit B-10, with no coding region annotated. The transcript is spliced from 5 exons. NCBI's taxonomy places the organism in Eukaryota, Viridiplantae, Streptophyta, Magnoliopsida, Malpighiales, Euphorbiaceae. The record is from RefSeq and is a predicted model, not a curated record.
UAAUAAUAAUAAAAAAAAACCGCAGAAUCAAAACCAACGGUGAUGAUAGAAGUCAUUCUCUGAUCAGAGUCGUCUCCUAUCUCCUCUCUUCUCCAGCGUCCGAUCCCUUCUCUUUCCUCUUUCUCCGUUCCAAUCCAAUCCUUCUUAUUCCCUCGCGCCCUUUUACAAAUCUCUUCCUGAGCUAGGUUUUGAGCAUGGCGGCGGAGGCACCACCUGCGAGCCCAGGCGGAGGCAGCCAUGAGAGUGGUGAGCUGAGCCCCCGCUCCAACUCCAAUUCUAAUGUCCGUGAACAAGAUAGAUACCUACCGAUCGCUAAUAUUAGCCGGAUCAUGAAGAAGGCGCUUCCUGCCAAUGGUAAGAUCGCCAAGGAUGCCAAGGAGACCGUUCAGGAAUGCGUCUCUGAAUUUAUUAGCUUCAUCACCAGCGAGGCGAGCGAUAAGUGCCAGAGAGAGAAGAGGAAGACGAUUAACGGUGAUGAUUUGUUGUGGGCCAUGGCAACGUUAGGGUUUGAGGAUUACAUCGAUCCGCUUAAGAUUUACUUGGCUCGAUACAGAGAGGUCAAUUUGAGCUUCAAAAUUUUUUUUUUCAGCCGUUUGGAUGAUUCUGGCUGCUCUUUUUGUCGUUUUAGCUUAUAAUAACAUGAAAAUUUGUUGCAGCAGAGUAUUUUCUGGAAUUUUGUUUCUAAUUUUUUGGUUAUUUGAUUCAGGAUUUUGAUUUUUGAUUCUGACUUGUUUAAUAUCACUGCAAUGAUAUUAUUCUAAAAGAUUUUAGGCACUAAUUGAUUUAUUUCUGUUGUUGUUUUAUUGGGUUGAACGGAUGAUGCAGAUGGAGGUAUGUUGAUAUUCUUUUGCAUAUACAUACAAAUUUCUUUUGUCUUUUUUCUUUUUUCUGUGUAAAUUUUGAGUCCUGGGAUCUGUAAAUUGUGGUGUUUUACAGGGUGACACCAAGGGAUCGGCAAAGGGUGGAGAAACGUCUGUUAAAAAGGACGUUCAGCCGAGUCCAAAUGUCCAGAUUUCUCAUCAAGGAUCUUUCUCACAAGGUGUCAAUUACGCAAAUUCUCAAUAGCAGGUCCAGCACAUGAUGGUUCCUAUGCAAGGCACUGAGUAAACAUCUACUCUCCUUCAACCAAUGCCAUAAUUUAGAGCCCUAUUUAAUAACUCGUUCCAUUCUCGCAAAUAUUGUACCAAGACAUUGAAUCCAAUGUAAACACUAACAUUAUGGAUGGUUUUGGUUAUCUUGUUGUGCCUAGAGUUAUUUCGUGAUAAUGUUUGCAUAAUUAGGGUAUCUUUUGCUGUAGGAUGACUGUUUGAAGAAAUAUUGUAAAUCUCUGGAACGUUGUUUUCUUACUAUUUGUGGACUGGAUACUCGUCAAGGAUCUGUUAUGGCAUUCUGAAUUGAUUAUCAAGCUUCAUAUGCAUUUAUUUGUGCA